This 404-nucleotide ribosomal RNA is filed under the name Bacteroidota bacterium. RNAcentral describes it as "Bacteroidetes bacterium partial 16S ribosomal RNA". It matches the Rfam family "Bacterial small subunit ribosomal RNA", at positions 355 to 776 of the family's 1533-position model. The record is from RNAcentral. Lineage: Bacteria; Pseudomonadati; Bacteroidota.
UGGGGAAUAUUGCACAAUGGGGGAAACCCUGAUGCAGCGACGCCGCGUGAGCGAAGAAGGCCUUCGGGUCGUAAAGCUCUUUUAUGAGGGAAGAUAAUGACGGUACCUCAAGAAAAAGCCCCGGCUAACUACGUGCCAGCAGCCGCGGUAAUACGUAGGUGGCAAGCGUUGUCCGGAUUUAUUGGGCGUAAAGCGAGCGCAGGCGGUCAAUUAAGUCUGAUGUGAAAGCCCCCGGCUCAACCGGGGAGGGUCAUUGGAAACUGGUUGACUUGAGUGCAGAAGAGGAGAGUGGAAUUCCAUGUGUAGCGGUGAAAUGCGUAGAUAUAUGGAGGAACACCAGUGGCGAAGGCGACUCUCUGGUCUGUAACUGACGCUGAGGCUCGAAAGCGUGGGUAGCAAACAGG